RNAcentral lists this long non-coding RNA (1740 nucleotides) under Oryzias javanicus (javanese ricefish). Its description in RNAcentral is "lncRNA (ENSOJAG00000013706.1)". The record is from RNAcentral. Lineage: Eukaryota; Metazoa; Chordata; Actinopteri; Beloniformes; Adrianichthyidae.
GGGUAAAUAAAAACCGGGACCAUUCUGCGCCAUUGUUUACUCACAACUCAGAUUUUUAACACACAUUAUAAUAUUGUCAAUUUACAAAUUUUUACACAACAUGCCUCCCAAGAAAAAAAAAAUGUCUGUCUUCUUCAUCUUCUUUUUUUUUUUUUUUUUUUUAGCAUCAACGUCAACAUGCAGGUCUCAGAGGGAUGCUAUCAACACCAUGAUGAGUUUUGUGCAGCAGCAAUGCCAUCUCCCUAUUUGGAUUAACGUCCAGCCCGUGUCAACAGCCCUCGUCGAGAGCCAGGCCUUAAAGACAGAAGCCCGGAGAUGUGAUUAAACGCUGCACAGUCACCCUCAGUCAGCAGGAUGCUGACCAGAGGCGGACACGGACAGCCAAACCAAUAAACACAGUGCCUCUUUGAACUCCACGCAGCUGACAAUCAGCCUUCCUCUCACAGUGUGGAUCAAGGAGAGUGCCUGACGUCAAAAGAAGUGGUUAAAGACAAGAGGGAGAUUCAUGGUUGAAGGCAAACAGACAUGCUUCAAUCUGUCACGCAAACACACACGUGCUGGAAUUUUUGAAGCAAAGCAACCAGUACUUGAGGCAGUUUCUGUCCUAAUUCUUCUAAGAGAGAAUAAACAGCAGAUUAUGUUUUUUAUGUCAUACAUGGAAUUAACACAGCCUGACAUAACACUCGGCAGGAAAACACAACAAAUAUAAACAGUAUUAUAAAGAUGUGUUUAAAAAAAGGUUUCCUCUCAGCGCAAACAUUAUUGUCUGUGAGGAGUUGAGAAAGGAGAUUUUAGGCAGACUUACAUAGCUUUGCGUUCAUGCCUCACAUCCUGUGGAGUCUUUAUGCUCGUCCUGCGAGUGUCUGCUGGAAUGCUUUGUUGAAUGCGUUGGUUUUAUUUCUGUCAGACUGUCAGUUUGUGUGUGUUUGCGUGUGCCACUAAUCGGAGCCCGACCACUGAGCUGGCUGGGCUGUCCUAUCUGUCAUGCAUCAAAAAGGCCUCCUUCGUGUCUGCAGAGCAUAUCAGCUUUUCUGUCUUGUCACUUCAGGAAUCACGUCUGCACAGGACCCUCCGGUCAUCACACGCACACAAAAGCACACCAUGAUACGUCCCGCCCCCAUCCAGCCACUGUGUUAGCUCGACCAAGUGUGUUCUCCUGAGGUGCACACACUCACAGAGACUACAUCCCUCAUCACUCAUGAUGGAGGAGCAGGCCUGACACAUGGACAGAAAUAGUCCUAACUCACCUCCUGAGUCCUCCUGUUCCUCAUAAGAUCUACUCAAAUAUCAUUUCAGGGUAACUUUUUCUGACUUUUUGUUUCCGAAAAGCUCUACAGCCAUCUCCUUCUCUAGCAACAUCUUUUUUUAGUGAUAAAAUCAGAAAACUUCCACAAGUUCUGUUAGCAAUAUUUUGUAUUAUCAUCAUAGUAUCAUCAUCAAGUGUGUCCAUGUGAGUGACAGCUAAUGGGACAUCAACUUUAACUAAAUAAAGGCUUUUAAAUUGUUUCUUUGAUUAUUCUGGAACAUGCUUGAAGCAAGUUCAAAGUAUUGGUGGCAUAUAAAUAAAUUAAAAAAGUAAUAAUAUUAAAUGAAAAUUCUGUCAAACACAUAUAUUUGGUGCCAAGUUUUAAUACAGGCAAUGCAGAAGUUUAAAAUAUAUAUUUUUUUAAAGUUAACGGAGACAACAUUAGACAGACACACUAUAGAGAUGGAAAGCAAAUAAGGUCAACUUGGAGGGUG